CCGGCGCACGGGUGAGUAACACGUAUGCAAUCCACCUGUAACAGGGGAUAACCCGGAGAAAUCCGGACUAACACCCCAUAAUAUGGGCGCUCCGCAUGGAGAGUUCAUUAAAGAGAGCAAUUUUGGUUACAGACGAGCAUGCGCUCCAUUAGCCAGUUGGCGGGGUAACGGCCCACCAAGGCGACGAUGGAUAGGGGUUCUGAGAGGAAGGUCCCCCACAUUGGAACUGAGACACGGUCCAA
RNAcentral lists this ribosomal RNA (242 nucleotides) under uncultured bacterium. RNAcentral's name for it is "partial 16S ribosomal RNA". It matches the Rfam family "Bacterial small subunit ribosomal RNA", at positions 95 to 334 of the family's 1533-position model. The record is from RNAcentral.